GCUGGCCUCAAGUUCGCUUGACUUCCAUCAAAAUGUAAUCAUGUUGUACACAGUACACUGUUCUCCAUCGGCGUCGACUCCCAAGCAGCUGGCAUGACGAGCACUGCACAAGGUCCCUGCUGCCUGCUGACUGUCAAUGGCUCCCUUCCCUGCUGCAGGUCGUAGUUGAAAUAGACCCACAAGACAGAAAUCAGCUCCGGAUUAGUCCUUCCGAAGCUGAGUUAUUUUACAUCAGUUUACCCCCUUUUAGCAGCUGCCAUUUUUUUCGGUACUCCUUUCGAGCAUUGUUCAAAGAAAUCAGCAGCUGCCAUUAUUUUACAUCAAUUUACCCCCUUUUAGCAGCUACCAUUAUUUUCUGGUACUCCUAGCAUUGUUCAAAGAAAUCAGCAGCUGUCAUUAUUUUUACAUCAGUUUACCACCUCUUACUAGCAAGGAACAACUCAUUUCUCUCGCUACUCCUAAUUUUUUCUUGUGCUUUUCUGUAGGAGGAGAAAUUCAUUCUCAGAUCACAAGAACCACAGAACACCAAGGGUGAUAUUCAGGUUGACAUAUUUCCAUAGACAAUCUAACCUGUACAGGGAUGAGUAAGAGAUGAAAAACUUCAAUUGAAAGCACCGCAAAGGUAUCUAAGCAAUGGUA
Triticum dicoccoides is the source of this 639-nucleotide long non-coding RNA. RefSeq lists it as uncharacterized. NCBI's taxonomy places the organism in Eukaryota, Viridiplantae, Streptophyta, Magnoliopsida, Poales, Poaceae. The transcript has 3 exons. The record is from RefSeq and is a predicted model, not a curated record.